AUUGAACGCUGGCGGCAGGCCUAACACAUGCAAGUCGAACGGUAACAGAAAGCAGCUUGCUGCUUUGCUGACGAGUGGCGGACGGGUGAGUAAUGUCUGGGAAACUGCCUGAUGGAGGGGGAUAACUACUGGAAACGGUAGCUAAUACCGCAUAACGUCGCAAGACCAAAGAGGGGGACCUUCGGGCCUCUUGCCAUCGGAUGUGCCCAGAUGGGAUUAGCUUGUUGGUGGGGUAACGGCUCACCAAGGCGACGAUCCCUAGCUGGUCUGAGAGGAUGACCAGCCACACGGGAACUGAGACACGGUCCAGACUCCUACGGGAGGCAGCAGGGGGGAAUAUUGCACAAUGGGCGCAAGCCUGAUGCAGCCAUGCCGCGUGUAUGAAGAAGGCCUUCGGGUUGUAAAGUACUUUCAGCGGGGAGGAAGGGAGUAAAGUUAAUACCUUUGCUCAUUGACGUACCCGCAGAAGAAGCACCGGCUAACUCCGUG
RNAcentral lists this ribosomal RNA (489 nucleotides) under uncultured bacterium. Its description in RNAcentral is "partial 16S ribosomal RNA". It matches the Rfam family "Bacterial small subunit ribosomal RNA", at positions 30 to 507 of the family's 1533-position model. The record is from RNAcentral.